Rhagoletis zephyria (snowberry fruit fly) is the source of this 228-nucleotide long non-coding RNA. RefSeq lists it as uncharacterized. The record is from RefSeq and is a predicted model, not a curated record. NCBI's taxonomy places the organism in Eukaryota, Metazoa, Arthropoda, Insecta, Diptera, Tephritidae.
CAGUACCAUUUGCUUAGUGAACGCAUAUACCCAGCUAGACAUUCUAAGAUUGAUGCCAAUUUCAGUAUGCUCACAUGCAGCUCAGAACUUCAAGAGUACAUAAUUUCUUUUUACUGGUUGGUGUCGUAACCGCCUAAGCGACAUUAGUCGAGUCCAACAAAGCACGCCAUUCAUUUCUCUUCUGUGCUAACUGACGCCAAUUGGAAAUGCCAAGUGAAGCCAAGUUUU